Molecule: ribosomal RNA, 488 nt
Filed under: uncultured bacterium
Lineage: Bacteria
Description: partial 16S ribosomal RNA
Rfam family: Bacterial small subunit ribosomal RNA
Source: RNAcentral
GAUGAACGCUAGCGGCAGGCUUAACACAUGCAAGUCGAGGGGCAGCAUAAUGGAUAGCAUUAUCUAUGGUGGCGACCGGCGCACGGGUGCGUAACGCGUAUGCAACCUACCUUUAACAGGGGGAUAACACUGAGAAAUUGGUACUAAUACCCCAUAAUAUCAUAGAAGGCAUCUUUUAUGGUUGAAAAUUCCGAUGGUUAGAGAUGGGCAUGCGUUGUAUUAGCUAGUUGGUGGGGUAACGGCUCACCAAGGCGACGAUACAUAGGGGGACUGAGAGGUUAACCCCCCACACUGGUACUGAGACACGGACCAGACUCCUACGGGAGGCAGCAGUGAGGAAUAUUGGUCAAUGGACGCAAGUCUGAACCAGCCAUGCCGCGUGCAGGAUGACGGCUCUAUGAGUUGUAAACUGCUUUUGUACGAGGGUAAACGCAGAUACGUGUAUCUGUCUGAAAGUAUCGUACGAAUAAGGAUCGGCUAACUCCGUG